Molecule: ribosomal RNA, 520 nt
Filed under: uncultured bacterium
Lineage: Bacteria
Description: bacterial SSU rRNA
Rfam family: Bacterial small subunit ribosomal RNA
Source: RNAcentral
GGGAAUCUACCCAUUUCUGCGGAAUAGCUCUGGGAAACUGGAAUUAAUACCGCAUACGCCCUACGGGGGAAAGAUUUAUCGGGGAUGGAUGAGCCCGCGUUGGAUUAGCUAGUUGGUGGGGUAAAGGCCUACCAAGGCGACGAUCCAUAGCUGGUCUGAGAGGAUGAUCAGCCACAUUGGGACUGAGACACGGCCCAAACUCCUACGGGAGGCAGCAGUGGGGAAUAUUGGACAAUGGGCACAAGCCUGAUCCAGCCAUGCCGCGUGAGUGAUGAAGGCCUUAGGGUUGUAAAGCUCUUUCACCGGUGAAGAUAAUGACGGUAACCGGAGAAGAAGCCCCGGCUAACUUCGUGCCAGCAGCCGCGGUAAUACGAAGGGGGCUAGCGUUGUUCGGAAUUACUGGGCGUAAAGCGCACGUAGGCGGAUAUUUAAGUCAGGGGUGAAAUCCCAGAGCUCAACUCUGGAACUGCCUUUGAUACUGGGUAUCUUGAGUAUGGAAGAGGUAAGUGGAAUUGCGAGU